GAUGAACGCUGGCGGCGUGCCUAAUACAUGCAAGUCGAGCGAACGGACGAGAAGCUUGCUUCUCUGAUGUUAGCGGCGGACGGGUGAGUAACACGUGGAUAACCUACCUAUAAUACUGGGAUAACUUCGGGAAACCGGAGCUAAUACCGGAUAAUAUUUUGAACCGCAUGGUUCAAAAAUGAAAGACGGUCUUGCUGUCACUUAUAGAUGGAUCCGAGCUGCAUUAGCUAGUUGGUAAGGUAACGGCUUACCAAGGCAACGAUGCAUAGCCGACCUGAGAGGGUGAUCGGCGACACUGGAAGUGAGGCACGGUCCAGACUCCUACGGGAGGCAGCAGUAGGGAAUCUUCCGCAAUGGGCGAAAGCCUGACGGAGCAACGCCGCGUGAGUGAUAAAGGUCUUCGGAUCGUAAAACUCUGUUAUUAGGGAAGAACAUAUGUGUAAGUAACUGUGCACAUCUUGACGGUACCUAAUCAGAAAGCCACGGCUAACUACGUG
This 497-nucleotide ribosomal RNA is filed under the name uncultured bacterium. RNAcentral's name for it is "partial 16S ribosomal RNA". It matches the Rfam family "Bacterial small subunit ribosomal RNA", at positions 28 to 507 of the family's 1533-position model. The record is from RNAcentral.